AAAGAUUAAGCCAUGCAUGUCUAAGUAUAAGCAAUUUAUACAGUGAAACUGCGAAUGGCUCAUUAAAUCAGUUAUCGUUUAUUUGAUAGUACCUUUACUACUUGGAUAACCGUGGUAAUUCUAGAGCUAAUACAUGCUAAAAAUCCCGACUGUUUGGAAGGGAUGUAUUUAUUAGAUAAAAAAUCAAUGCUCUUCGGAGCUUUUUGAUGAUUCAUAAUAACUUUUCGAAUCGCAUGGCCUUGUGCUGGCGAUGGUUCAUUCAAAUUUCUGCCCUAUCAACUUUCGAUGGUAGGAUAGUGGCCUACCAUGGUGG
RNAcentral lists this ribosomal RNA (313 nucleotides) under uncultured Millerozyma. Its description in RNAcentral is "SSU rRNA". It matches the Rfam family "Eukaryotic small subunit ribosomal RNA", at positions 39 to 352 of the family's 1831-position model. Lineage: Eukaryota; Fungi; Ascomycota; Pichiomycetes; Serinales; Debaryomycetaceae. The record is from RNAcentral.